GGCUGAGAGUGACACUCAGCAGAGAGCCUGCAGUCUCAUCAAGGUCAAACACCACACACUCAUCACGUGCAGAGGAUUAGUGGAUCGACGGGGGAAAAAAUGCAUAAUAAUGUUGAUGUCAUUGUCGUAUGUGUAAUGCGAUAAUCCGUUUGGGAUUUAUUCAGAGCGUUUAAACUACUUGAAGACACCACCUUUGAUUCGACACUUGUACGAUGCAGGAUUAAGCGUCUGAUAUAAUGCAAUUAAUGAAACUAAUCAGACAGUUUAAUGAUGAAGAAAAUGCAAAUGUGACAUGUGUGAGCCAUGUGUGUCACCUUGUUUCCUCGGUGUUGCACAGGGGUGUGAUGCUGUUAUGUUUUUCUGCCCGAGGCAAAACAAAAGAGACGGUCUCGUACAGUGAGCCUUGCCAAAAAGGUGUGCUGGAUAAACCGCAUUCCUGGGAAUAGGAAACAAGUGGUUGAACAUAAAGUCAUUGUGUGGUAGGUGGACGAUGCAAAAUCUAAUUUUAUAUAACUUCAACGCUGCCUUUGGUGAAUAGCUCUACUAGGUUGGGAAGACGUUAAAAGGUUUGAGGCAGAGAAUAAGCUGCGUCUCGGCUCCAUCAGAUUUCUCGUUCCUGCUUUCAUGUUGACCUCUUAAAUAGACUUCUAUAAAUAGAGGCUCUGGUUUAGUGCCUGUCAGAGCAGUCUAAUUUCUGGAUUCAUCCAUUAAUCAGCAGGAGAAGGUAGGAGUGUGAGUAGAGGAGAUGAUUAUUUUUGUAUCCUGGUGUUACUCCAGUGUUUUUCUUAAGUGUGAAGUUAGUUUCUGGAGUUAUUGUGCUGCUAAUAUCUGUAAACGUAGGUAUGCAACUUUUAAAAAAGUGUGUUAAUUCAUUGGCUUUUGUUUGUUUGUUUGUGUAAAAUAUUUGAAUGUGUUGCCUGUUUAACCUGUUGGAAUCAAUAAAAGUGACACUGAAAAUCAAA
Molecule: long non-coding RNA, 962 nt
Organism: Stegastes partitus (bicolor damselfish)
Lineage: Eukaryota; Metazoa; Chordata; Actinopteri; Pomacentridae
Exons: 2
Source: RefSeq, a predicted model, not a curated record